GGUUGUGGCUCAGUGGUGAAGCACUUGCCUAGCACGUGUGAGGCCAUGGGUUCGAUUCUCAGCACCA
Molecule: transfer RNA, 67 nt
Filed under: Marmota monax (woodchuck)
Lineage: Eukaryota; Metazoa; Chordata; Mammalia; Rodentia; Sciuridae
Description: tRNA.Ala
Source: RNAcentral